RNAcentral lists this long non-coding RNA (368 nucleotides) under Brassica napus (rape). RNAcentral's name for it is "long non-coding RNA (BNAP_LNC015231)". Lineage: Eukaryota; Viridiplantae; Streptophyta; Magnoliopsida; Brassicales; Brassicaceae. The record is from RNAcentral.
CUAAGGAGGAGUGACUUGGGUAGCUUAGGGAGAGGAUCAGACCGUUGAGAGGAUAAGGGAACGCGGUGCCAGGCUGGAACAGGCUGGAAAGCUGAAGCACCUUUAGUCCAAGAUGCCAUAAGCGUGUGAGCCAUCCUGACCAAUCAUUCAAAAGGCGCCCUUGACUCCACACGGUUGAAUAGUGCUCAGUUCCCUUCUUGUAAACCCUGGUGUCUCUCUUAUAAAUAUGUAACCUCACUCAUUAAUAAGAUUAAGCAAGUUUUGAGACUCUCUCUUAGUCUUUAAAUCUCAAUGGUUCCAUAUUAGACUCCUAAUCUCAUUUCAUACUCUAAUCUUCACUAAAUCGUUUCUAGUCUUUCCUAAACACU